GAAGGUAUAGCUCAAUGGUAGAGCACAUGCAUAACAUGCACGAAGUCCUGGGUUCAAUCCCCAGUGCCUCCA
This 72-nucleotide transfer RNA is filed under the name Camelus bactrianus (Bactrian camel). It matches the Rfam family "tRNA". Rfam says of the family: Transfer RNA (tRNA) molecules are approximately 80 nucleotides in length. Their secondary structure includes four short double-helical elements and three loops (D, anti-codon, and T loops). The record is from Rfam by way of RNAcentral. RNAcentral also lists the same sequence under 2 other names. Lineage: Eukaryota; Metazoa; Chordata; Mammalia; Artiodactyla; Camelidae.